Molecule: long non-coding RNA, 360 nt
Organism: Oncorhynchus keta (chum salmon)
Lineage: Eukaryota; Metazoa; Chordata; Actinopteri; Salmoniformes; Salmonidae
Exons: 3
Source: RefSeq, a predicted model, not a curated record
GCUCUUUCAAGGUUAACACAACAUUGCUCUUUCAAGGUUAACACAACAUUGUUCUUUCAAGGUUAACACAACAUUGCUCUUUCAAGGUUAACACAACAUUGCUCUUUCUAGGUUAACACAACAUUGCUCUUUCAAGGUUAACACAACAUUGCUCUUUCAAGGUUAACACAACAUUGCUCUUUCUAGGUUAACACAACAUUGCUCUUUCAAGGUUAACACAACAUUGCUCUUUCUAGGUUAACACAACAUUGCUCUUUCUAGGUUAGCAGAAUGUUCUGCCACAUUGAUGCUCAGGUGAGAAGUUAAAUGUCACCAGAGCACCGUAUAUUAUAGUAUACCGAACCAAAAACCAUAUUCACC